Molecule: ribosomal RNA, 550 nt
Filed under: uncultured bacterium
Lineage: Bacteria
Description: bacterial SSU rRNA
Rfam family: Bacterial small subunit ribosomal RNA
Source: RNAcentral
UAGGGAAUCUUCGGCAAUGGGGGCAACCCUGACCGAGCAACGCCGCGUGAGUGAAGAAGGUUUUCGGAUCGUAAAGCUCUGUUGUAAGUCAAGAACGAGUGUGAGAGUGGAAAGUUCACACUGUGACGGUAGCUUACCAGAAAGGGACGGCUAACUACGUGCCAGCAGCCGCGGUAAUAUGUAGGUCCCGAGCGUUGUCCGGAUUUAUUGGGCGUAAAGCGAGCGCAGGCGGUUUGAUAAGUCUGAAGUUAAAGGCUGUGGCUUAACCAUAGUUCGCUUUGGAAACUGUUUAACUUGAGUGCAGAAGGGGAGAGUGGAAUUCCAUGUGUAGCGGUGAAAUGCGUAGAUAUAUGGAGGAACACCGGUGGCGAAAGCGGCUCUCUGGUCUGUAACUGACGCUGAGGCUCGAAAGCGUGGGGAGCGAACAGGAUUAGAUACCCUGGUAGUCCACGCCGUAAACGAUGAGUGCUAGGUGUUGGAUCCUUUCCGGGAUUCAGUGCCGCAGCUAACGCAUUAAGCACUCCGCCUGGGGAGUACGACCGCAAGGUUG